Taeniopygia guttata (zebra finch) is the source of this 8881-nucleotide non-coding RNA. Lineage: Eukaryota; Metazoa; Chordata; Aves; Passeriformes; Estrildidae. The record is from RefSeq and is a predicted model, not a curated record.
ACAGAGUUGAACUGAUACCACCACCUCUGCUUCCAUCACAGGCAGCAGGGAGCAUAGGAUAUCAUUUUUGUGCAUCCUCUGAAUGACAACCCCCAAGAAUUCCCCCAGAGAUGAUCCAGUGUGUGAAGAAGACCCACCUGACAGGAAUGAUGGUGAUCACUCCCAACUGUGUGUGCUGGAAACAACAAGGAAUGGUGCAGAUGAGCAACUGCAGCCUCAGCACAGAUUUCUGCUACUUGAGUUAAUGGAGUGCCGCUGCCAGUCAUGGGUUGUCAUCCUCUGAGUAAAGCCCUCCCAGAAGAGGAUUGCUGAUGGGCACUGGUGAGAAACAUGAACUGAGGAUUUGCUUGUUGGCUGGGAUGGCAGCUAAGCCAUGCUCCCUGUGCAACUCAAGAGGAAGGACUUUUAACCCAGCACACAGCUCUGGCCCUGGCUGAGCAGAUCACAGAAAGUUCUCAGUACUCUUCAAUCCCAGUGCACCAGCCCUUAUAGACCCCAAAGCAUAGGUGCACAUCUGCCUCAUUUCCCUGCGCUGCCUGCUUGUAUUUCCACCCUCUGCCAAGCUGGUGAUGGCCACAGGACCUGAAGAGGAAAGAAGAGUGAAAUAUUGCUUUCACCAAGGUAUAUAUGGGAGGUAAUUGUUGGUUGCUUCUGUCUGAAUCACUCAGUUUCCAGUGGCUUGCAAUAUCACUAACACAGUUUCCUUUUUCCACUACCUUGUUAAAUAGAAGAAACCCUUCUCUUUUAUUUGAAAUAUUGGUUUUCUUCAGCUCCCUAUAUUUCCUCUACAAGUCCUUAGGCAUUUUUCUUAAUAUAACUCUCUGCCUUGGCUACUGCACCUCACAGGUAAGAAGAGUGUGGUAUAGCUGACAUGAGUCCUGUGUGACUCUGAUCUGACACAGCCCUAUAAUCCUACUGGGAUGUCACUGCUACACAGCAGCACAGCACUGGGGGGAAACCUUAGAGGCUGAAACAAGAAUGCAGCAACAUUGGGAAGAAGGCAGUGAAGUGUGGCAAAAUAAAACUGGAACACACAGGAGUGCUGUGUUCAGGGCAUGACUGAACAUUUGAGCAGCUGACGUGGCACCACUUCAUCGCUGGCACUGCUGCCAAAAGGGUUGUGUAUCACGUCACAACCCCAGGAUGGAACUUCUGUGCAGCUGGAAAUCGCAUGUGGAAAAGCAAAGGCAAAUCUUACCUACCUCCCCAAGAUACUACCCAAACAAAAAGAUUUUUAAAAAGAAAAUGCUCUUACAUGUUCAGCAUUUGCCUAGCUCCAUAAAUGUCUUAAGGUAAGCAAGAGCAAAAUCUGUGGGGUUUAGAUAUUUUCUUUCCAAAGUUCUUAUAUAUAUAAUCUACUCCUUUUAAUUUCAUUGUAAUACCCUAAGAAUUAAUACCAUAAAUAGUUCCAUUAUCAUGUAAUCCCCUAAGAAUUAAUACCAAAAAUAGUGACGGCAGAAUGAACAAAUUGGAGAGAAGCUUGGGAUAUCUCAUCCCUUAUGUCUUGGGGCUGAAAUGAGUCAUAUUGCCAUGUCUGCUAUGGCAAAGAAGACUUUCAUAGCUGAGAGGCCAGGUUAGAGCCUUGAAAUUUCUGUGCAGCAGUCUUGAGGUAUGUCCACAUACAGAUGGUUGAAAGGCUCAGAAGGUGUUAUUCCAAGUAACACAGUCCUGUGUCUAGUGACUGUGGCUUUUAACCAGGAUUGUGACUUGUUUAUCCUGUAUUUUGUUGUCCCACCCUCUAUUCAGGGCUGUUCAAAGAAGUUGUGUAAUGAAACAGAAGAGUUGGUUUGGCUCCAGCUGGUCCUGGUGCCUGUUGUCCAAUGUGGGCUAGGUUUAGUUGUGGAGACAACACUUGGGACAUGAUGAGAGAGAAACUAAAAAUACUCAGAGGAUUUUGAAGAGCUGAAUAUUUUAUUUACUACCUAGUUACCGCUGCAAAUAAAAAUUUUAGUACCCAAGAUAAGAUUAGUUUUAUCUUUCUGGUGGGAAAUCUGUAGCAUGUUCCUUUGACUUAAAUUGAUAGACUCUGAAUUUUCUGAUAAGCUUUGCUUCUUUGAAAACCAACUGUCUAUAAACAGCACCAUGUGAAAGCAAACCAACCCUUCUUAUUUUCCCUGUAGGUAUAGUCAGAAUCCUACCUCCAAACAACCUUAAAGUAAGUUUUCAAUGCUACUUUUCUAUUCUUGUUAGUUCAGCAUAGCCAACAGUGAAGGCCUUGUUGACAUUAGGCAAAUGUGCAAUGAUGCAGCAAAAUCAAUUUAGUCACACUGAUGCAAAUCCCUCACACAGAUGUAAUGCCUGUGUGCAAAGUAGGGCAUUUCUGAACAUACACAAUAUUUAAAAUGAAGUGAAAGAGAGAGAUCCUAUUCCUCCCAACUGAUUCCUUAGUGUGAUUCAUAUUGGUGCUCCUGAAAGCCUAAGUUGAAAGAAAGGGACUUUCUGGUCAAAAAGAAGGGUUCAUUAGAAGUACUGUUGAUCAGGAAGGAAUAUUAUGAUCUUUAAAUUACAAGUUGCAGUAGCUUAACAGAUGGAAUAAUACUUUUAAAAAUACUCUUUACCUUUAAACUGAGGAUAUCUGACCUUAAAAUCACUAGGAAAAGAAAUAUGUGAUUGCAUAACUCCAUUAUAUGGUUACUUUUCAGAAUAGAAGUGAAAAUUAAUGUGUUUUUGGUCCUGGGCUCUUUUUAGUAAUUUAAUGUGAUCUGCUGUCAACAAGAGGGAAAACAAACCUCUGAUGUUCAAUAAGACUAAGAGAACAAAACGUACCUUACUGUGGGUAUUCAGUUAAAGUUCUAUUGGCAAAAAAUGGCACAGCCUGUGAAGGCAUUAUUGAAAAACAGAUGAAGUCAGCAAGGAGUACUAGUAAUGAGGUAAUGACCAUCUUCCUUUGCAGUCUUAAGAGGUUAGGGGAUUUUUUUUCUUUUUCUUUUAUUUUUUUUAACAAAAAUGCUUCAGCAAACUGUGAAUUUGAAGCAAAAAGUUUUAGUAAUUUUGUAAGCAUCUUUUAGCUGUUAUGGAGGAAAAAAAGUUUUAAAUACUUAAUGUAUAUAAUUUAUUCAACAUAGGAAUAAAUGAAAUAUCAAACUCCAAAUGAAAUAUAUGUAUUGAAAGCAUAGUUUUUAAUCAAGUCCAGGCUAUGUCACAAUACUGUUCUUUAAAAAGUAUUUUAAAUUUGGGGAAACUUUCUCCCAGUCUGAAUGGAACCACAUUUGGAAACCUGGGAUCCUUUUUGUUAAAAGUGAGUCUUUGAUUCUCCUUGUAGGUGAAGACUCACACUGGGGAAGUGAAGAGAUAUGCAGGGCUUCUUUUCCAUGUACAUUCACCUACAACCUGACUGUUAAAGUAACAUUUUCCUCCUCCACCCUCCUCAAAAAGAGAAUAGGAAAUCCCUUUUCAGGAAUAAAGUCAGGGCAGAAUCUCAUCCUGAUAGAUUAGAGUCUCCCAGUAGAGCCAGGUGACAGGGAACGCUGUUUUCUUCAUAUAUUGCCAGGAGUUGGCAGUGCUUCAUUUUGUUCUAGCAACAAUGUUAACAAGAUCCUGAGUAGGAAAACCUCAUGAGAUAAGGAAUAACAAAAUGUACUGAGUUGGGAGGGACCCACAAGGAUCAUGGAGACAGGGUAAGGGAAAUUCUCAGGCAGGUAGGGAGCUAAGCAAUCAAUUAUUACUGAAUUUCAAACCCUCAGGCGAUACAACUAUACCCCCUGCUUUAUAAUUACUGAGAUUCAUCAACAGGAGCUGUGGCCCCCACUGGGCAAUUCCCAAGUUCCUUGAAAUGAGUCUAAUACCCAAUGAGGUUACUUGUGCUGCUGCAGAAAGAUAUUUCUGGCCUUUUACGUGUCAGAAAAUAAACUGGAUGUGACAGAUUUGGAGCUGGCCUGUGAUAAUUUACGAAUAUGGUCUGUUGGCCUGAUUAUUUGGUUGAAUAUCUGGGUUUCGCUCAUCAGAUAUUAGCUUGCAGUUGCAUUGUUAAAUUAUCAGGGCUGAUCUGUGCUCAUUACCCUGGGAUGCCCCACUUCCAUUGACACUGCACAGCCAGGGAGCACAGGGACUUGGAAGGGGAAGACAUUAGGUUUUGAACCACAGCAUCCCUACAUGGGCAGGGCUAGCAUCCUAUUCAUCCCUAGAAGAGACAUAGGGUUCCAAAGGUGCAUUGGGAAUUGGAGAUGGGACCUGUAGGUGUCUGAUAAGUGGAUAGAGCAUUGUUAGGAGACACUAAUUGGGAUAUGCUCAUAUAUAUCUAGGCUGUUUCCAUGUGUUUGUGGAAUUUUCAAUCAAAGUGAAAACUAAAAAUACCUUUGGAAGAAAAAUAGGUUGUGAAUACCGCAGUGAUUUCCAUCAGUUUUUAUCUAAUUCUGGGUGUUCAGAACAGGCAUGCUGCCUCUCACCUUAGGCAAGCUCCUUUUCCCUGAAAGGGAAUCUAAUGGGAUGAACACAGGGUAAAUUUACAAAAGCAGAGUGUCUUCUCUGACUACAAAACCAAUAGGAAAGUGUGCAGAGGUGAUAUUAUUCCAUAGUUUACAGUGGAGGUAUGUUGCAUGGAGAACUGCAAACAUUACAUGGCAGCUGGCCCACUCCAGAGUGCUGGACCCAGCCUUAUCUGUGGUGAGCUUCCAGCUGAGACUGGUCAAGCAAAUCUCUUCUCAGUUGUGAAAGUCUCAGUUGUUAUUUGCCAGGUGCUGGAGAAAUAUUUUACUGGGGUAAAGAGCAUAAAUAAUAGGGCACAAAAGAGGUUUCCAAGAAACAUCCUCCAAUCUGGAAGAAAAGUUUUAUGUGUGUCUCUUUGUAUGUUAGGUGAGUGAAGUAUAGAAAACAGAAAGUUGAAAAUCGUAGGUAAUUUUUCUCACUCUCUCCUUACUGAAAGGACAAGUAAGUAUAGCUUGAUAGGUUCUUGACUGUGGAGUUCCAAAAGGCAGCCUACAGAGCUAAGCUAUAUUCUAGAUCAAUUCCUAAUUCAACCUUCACAGUUUGGGCAGCACUAUGCUCAUUCAUUGCCUGUUCCAGAUGCUUUAGUAUAUAAAUUCUCCUACUUUACUAUUGCUGGAAAGGUUAAUAUAUUACAUUUCCCUAACCAUUAAUUCCUAAUGCAUUCAUCUUACUUCUAGUGAACAUAUUUUAUAUUUUACAGGUUUUGAAAACCAACUACACAUUAAGAUGUCCAUUUCUUAAAAGAAUACAGACCAGUAAAGGCUAUAUUUUCUGGGACACAUCCUCCCAGUGGCUGCUUCGUGUUGCUGUAAUACAGUGUGGCCAGGAAGGUGACAGGUCUAUUUCUUGGAUGACUACUUUGUCAAAAACAUUUUUUAAUGACAUAGAUGGAGUGCUGACUCUCCUGCCCACUUCCUUCACUCUUGCCACAUAAAGGUUAAACUGGGCUGGCACACUGCAAAGCCCCAUGGUUUUAUUUUAGUCUGUAAAAAAAACUUAGGAAAGAGACUGUUUAGUGUCACAUGGCUGUUUUAAGAGGAGGAAAUGCACAUGCUGAUGUUGAUCGUAAUCUGGAAAGAUUUGCAUCUGUUGCAUUUGCAAGACCAAGUGACUGCUAGACAAUCUAGAAAUACAAGAAAGAGACAAACCCGAACCAGGGACAAAAGGAGGAAAUUAGAGCCAACAAGUAAAUUCUAAGUGAAAGGAACUUCUAGUCAUGAGAUCGCCAUUAAGAAGUUCUUCACCGCAGCUGGCAGCCAUCUCUUUCUGCAGCUGAAGUUUCUGAAUGAGAACUUUUUGUGGAGUGUAUCACAGGAAUAUAGAUUACAAAUGGCAAAGAUCUAGAUUGCAGCCACAAAGUGUAUGUCUGAACAGAAGGCAAAAUGCUUCUGGAAUUUGCUUUAAAUGGGAUGUCCAGAAGAAACAGAGGAGGUACUAAAACAAAUUGUGAACAGAAGUAAUGAGUAGCAUAGCAAGGGAAGAGAGAAGCAGCCUCAGCUUCUGGAUGUUUCCUAGCUAAUCAUCUUGAUUUCCAGCUAUCAGCUGUAGCGAUACGCGGAAUAAAUAAAUAGACUCCACAACUCGAUGUAGUUAUGAAGUGGGUAUGUAUGACAGCAUCUGGCACAAGUGAGAUAACUCUCCAAAAUCUUGUGCCCCGAGCUGAAGUUUGCCCCCCAGUUUUAUUCACAAAGGUGUUCCAUAUGCAAUACAUUACACAACUUUUCUAUGCAUAUUCAACCCCUGGCCCCGCCUGUCUUCGCCUCUCAUGCUAAAUAGGUCCACGCCCUUCUGGGCAUGCGUGGUUUUUUGGGGGGGCUUUUAUGGGGGUCCCUGGUGGUCUUUGAGGCUUAAAACCAUCAUCUUCCUCUGCACUGAACUUUUGAACUCUUCUCCUCUGCGCUUGUGCUUUUGGUCCUUUGCUCUCUUAUCUGGAUAAGUCCAUCAUCCUUGACAUGUUUGGAGACAGAGGGGCUUCCUUGUCUGAAUUCCUUGCAUUCCUGGUCUUUUCCGGUAUUUGUCUUUUUGCAAGAAGCUUUAAAGAUCUUUGUUUUCUUUCCUAUGCCUUUUGUGCAGAGGUUUCUUAAAAUUCAACACAUGAUUCUACAAACAUGGUACAUUCAUUUUUGCUAUAUUCGUUUUUGAUACAUUCAUUUUGUUAGCUCAAGUGAUCUCUGGAAAAUCUUUCAUUUCACAGCUUGUCACCAUCCUCAUUCUUUGUUAAUUGGUUUGACUCAUUCCAGUGGAACACUGGAGAGCCCAACAAGUCGUCUUCCAUCAGAAACUAGACAAAACCAUCAGCUGUUUUCAGACAAAAGCGAGUACAGCAUGUAUUGCUCUGUAGUGGGUUUGUCUACAUGCCCUUUUCCAACAGCCCCAAGCCAGCUCUGCCUGUGAUCCCUGGUAGCCAAGUGUGGUGUAGCUGUGGCCAAAAGCUGUGCACCCAGGUCGGUAUAACGGGAUAUCACUUCUUUCCCUGAUCCUUGUCACACUUUGCCUGAACAAUGUGGUUACAUUUAAAAGCUUUUUUCCUCACUCCCUUAUCUGGAUGUACUGAAUGGUUGGUUUUCUCAGGGUGGCUUUUUUUCCUGUUCCUCCAUGCCCUUUUUGUUUCUGUCCCAAGUACUCCUAAUAUGAUGCCAUCGCUAACAGGAAGGCUCUGCAUUCAAACUCAAAUAAUGCAAGUUCAAACUUUCAUUUUAAAUCAGAUGCUGUUCUGAUGCCAUGCAACUACAGAUUUUACAGCACAGUUUGAGCAAGCUUUGCAAACAUCCUAAGCAAACAAACUUUGCAGGAAACAUAAUCCUAUUAUUUUACUAAUCUUUGGGACACUGCCUCACAGGGAUCAUAAUUUUCAACAAAGCCUCUACUCAGUUCUUUCACAGGGUAAUCUUUGUACCACUACACAGUAUUGUUAUUUUUCUGUGCUGACAUCUGUUAGAGAAAUAGUUCAUACUAGUUACAGAAGCUACCUAGUUUGAUGAUCUUAUGACUUGCUAUUACUCCUCACAAAUGUAUUAUUUAAUGAGUUUCUGAUCAUGUUUGCUCUCAAUACUAAUCAACCAUUCUUCAAUUAUUGCCUAUUCCUCAAUAGACCCUUUCUAAUGGCAUUUUUUGGUAAUUUUCACCUUGCAGAACCUGUACCAUCCUCCUUAACUUUAAUUCCAGAAUCCAUUUCAUCAUUCACACUUGGCAUGCUCUCAGCCUGCAAGCUCCUGCCACAAUGGAUUGUUAGCACAUCAUCAUAGGGUGUUGAAUAACCAAACCGGUGGGGGGAGGAAACUACAGGACUCUCUCCUACCACUUGGUCACUCUUACUGAAAGAGGUAGAGGCAGCUGGACUGGGAGGCAGAAGGUAUACUUUAAGAAAGUGCUUCUGGAAGCAUUUUUUCCUUAUGUGUUGGCAGGUCAGGGGUUGCGAAUGUAUGGCUUGUCCCCUCCACUGAUAUUCUUAAUCAGAGAAUGACAUUUCCCUCUUAACACUUCCUCAUUGUAAUGCCAAAUUUGUUCUUCCUCCCCAGUACAACCUGUAGUAUUGUUCUCCUGUUACCAUGAUAAAUUAUGCUUGUGAGACACGCUGAAUCAUGACGCUGCUCCUGUACACAGUUGUUCCUGGUGCUGAAGAAAUUUUAAUUUUGUCAUUUACGGCUUUUUUAUGGUCCUAUUUAUUACAGGACCUAUGUUAGGGUCUUAAAGAAAUUGCAAGGAAGUGGGAAGUAUACUAGCUGCUCUGGGAAUUUAAGCACAGACAUCUGGAAUAUUCUGAGGAGCCUGGAUCUGGUUUAUGGUCGAUGUAGCAACCAACAUGCUAGAUCUAGCUUUGUGUCUGCAUGCAUACUUCAUAGAAGCUCACAGAAUCACAGAAGUGUUUGGGUUGGAAGAGACCUUAAUGAUUAUCUGCUUCCACACCACUCUACUAUGGGCUGGUCACCUUCCACAACACCAGGUUGCUCAAAGUCCUGUCCUGAUAGAUAACACAGAGAAGACAAAUUUUCAGUUCCCCUGAAGCUGCUGAAUAGAUCAGCUAACAAAAAAUGAUAAAAGAAUGUGGAAGUGUGCACACAGGAUGAUAAACGGAGCUCGAACCAGUAGAUAAACUGAUAAUGAGGAAUAUAGUGGCUUCUUGGGCCAAGUUAUGUAAAAAGAAGCAGCAGUGCAUGCCCUAAGAGAAGUUCAAGGAAAGGUCAUCUGUAAUAUUGGGGGCACAAAGACCCCUACAGACAACCCUCUAGGGACAUUAAAAGACUUUGAGUAGGAGAGAAGGAGGCAGAUGCAUGCAAACUAGUUCUGUGAAAAGUGAUGUUUAUGUAUUAGCCAGAAGUACACUGUAAUCAAUAUGUAUGAUCAUGAUGGAAUAAAUAACUUGUUGUACCUUCUGGAUGCACAUCACAUUAACAGAACUAUCCUUCUGAUGUGUCCAGCACUGUAAUAAAGAAUGUCUGUUGUCUGAUACUUAAAA